CCUACGGGUGGCAGCAGUGGGGAAUAUUGGACAAUGGGGGCAACCCUGAUCCAGCCAUGCCGCGUGUGUGAAGAAGGCCCUCGGGUUGUAAAGCACUUUCAGUGAGGAAGAACGCCUGGUGGUUAAUACCCAUCAGGAAAGACAUCACUCACAGAAGAAGCACCGGCUAACUCCGUGUCAGCAGCCGCGGUAAUACGGAGGGUGCGAGCGUUAAUCGGAAUUACUGGGCGUAAAGCGCGCGUAGGUGGCUUGAUAAGCCGGUUGUGAAAGCCCCGGGCUCAACCUGGGAACGGCAUCCGGAACUGUCAAGCUAGAGUGCAGGAGAGGAAGGUAGAAUUCCCGGUGUAGCGGUGAAAUGCGUAGAGAUCGGGAGGAAUACCAGUGGCGAAGGCGGCCUUCUGGACUGACACUGACACUGAGGUGCGAAAGCGUGGGUAGCAAACAGGAUUAGAUACCCCGGUAGUC
Molecule: ribosomal RNA, 465 nt
Filed under: Vreelandella stevensii
Lineage: Bacteria; Pseudomonadati; Pseudomonadota; Gammaproteobacteria; Oceanospirillales; Halomonadaceae
Description: partial 16S ribosomal RNA
Rfam family: Bacterial small subunit ribosomal RNA
Source: RNAcentral